UAACGGCGAGUGAGCGGUAAAAGCUCAAAUUUGAAAUCUGGUACUUUCAGUGCCCGAGUUGUAAUUUGUAGAAUUUGUCUUUGAUUAGGUCCUUGUCUAUGUUCCUUGGAACAGGACGUCAUAGAGGGUGAGAAUCCCGUUUGGCGAGGAUACCUUUUCUCUGUAAGACUUUUUCGAAGAGUCGAGUUGUUUGGGAAUGCAGCUCAAAGUGGGUGGUAAAUUCCAUCUAAAGCUAAAUAUUGGCGAGAGACCGAUAGCGAACAAGUACAGUGAUGGAAAGAUGAAAAGAACUUUGAAAAGAGAGUGAAAAAGUACGUGAAAUUGUUGAAAGGGAAGGGCAUUUGAUCAGACAUGGUGUUUUUUGCAUGCACUCGCCUCUCGUGGGCUUGGGCCUCUCAAAAAUUUCACUGGGCCAACAUCAAUUCUGGCAGCAGGAUAAAUCAUUAAGAAUGUAGCUACU
RNAcentral lists this ribosomal RNA (460 nucleotides) under Hanseniaspora uvarum. RNAcentral's name for it is "partial large subunit ribosomal RNA". It matches the Rfam family "Eukaryotic large subunit ribosomal RNA", at positions 84 to 544 of the family's 3401-position model. The record is from RNAcentral. Lineage: Eukaryota; Fungi; Ascomycota; Saccharomycetes; Saccharomycodales; Saccharomycodaceae.